Molecule: long non-coding RNA, 2277 nt
Organism: Melopsittacus undulatus (budgerigar)
Lineage: Eukaryota; Metazoa; Chordata; Aves; Psittaciformes; Psittaculidae
Exons: 2
Source: RefSeq, a predicted model, not a curated record
GUCUGGGAGCUCUGCCCCGGCCACCCCGGUGGUGGCCAGCGUAGGCACCCAGACAGAGCCGAGACAGCAACCUGCUACUGCAAGAGGCAAGUGAAAACCAAUCCAAGGAAGCAUUGACAAGUCAAAUAUCUUCAAUGAAACCUGUCCUGUGAGAUCCAAAAAGCAACUGUUUGUUUCUUUUGGCAUUCUACAAAAUAUACAAUAAGAAUAGAAAAACUUUCGAAGAUGUAAUCCAGUCAAAAACAAACAAACAAAAAAAAGUGGCUUCCAAGCACUAGAAGCUGUAAAUUGUGUCUCAUCCACUGUUUCUCAAAAGGAUUUGUUGCAGUAUCUGUUUUGUAAAUAACCCCUAGCAGACAGUGAUGUAGACAAGGAAUUGCAGAUUUAUUGCAAACUAUUUUCAAAGUGUACAACUGUUCCCUGCUAUAAUGGCCACUGUCAAGAUGUGACAGGCUAGCUCAUGUGAGCAGGAAGUAAAAUGGCAAAGGGUUCAAGUUACCUUAUCUGCUUUUCUAGAGUUAUAAAAAUUGCUUGCAGAUAAUAUUACUUGUGAAAAUAAAAUUUAACUGCUCGCUGUAUUUCAGAUGACAUGUGAACUUUGUUAGUGUAAAAAAAAAAAACUGGUGACAAUUUUAUGUUUAUUGCUAUGAAAUCUGUGAUUUUUAAACAUUAUCAAGCCAUUAUCUCUGAAAGCACCAUCUGUAAAAGUUACCUAGCCCCCCAGAAAGAUGAUUUUGCUGAUGUAGAAUUAGUCUUCCUGGUAAUUUUGCAGGCUUCCAUGUGUCUAGUAAAUAACAUGAUAGCCACACACAAACCUGAGUUUCUUAUGAAUCAUGUAUGCUGCACAUACAGUUACCUCUCCCCAAAAGAUUUACAUUUCUGCUAUUUUUAUAAGAUACUAAAGCUGGACCUUUCCUACAGACGUCAUAACCUGUCUUUUUAGGUUAAAGGUUUGUAAAGUAACAUUACCUAGCAUGUUCUUUUAAGAGACACAGGAAUACCAUCUAAAAUGGUAUAAAUUCAACAUAACUUCAAACAUUUUACUUACUGUUAUAAUGACAAACUUAUAUCAAACUUCACAUGGUGUUUAAAAAUAUGCUAAUAAUUUGAGGCAAGUUUUAUAACAUUUUAAGAGUGAAGUAUCAAUUCUCUUCAAACAAAAGCAAUGGAAAUGGCCUGUCUAUUCCAUGUAAACCUGCAAUUAAGGUGCACUUUACUCCUUACUAAAGCCAGAAUCCCAGAAUAAUCUUCCAGGUCUGUCAGUCAAACACACCACAUAAGAAUACGACCUACUAUGAUUCUUUCCCCCAUCAUACUGACAUUUCCAUUUUCAUCCCUGUGUCAUUUAUAUAAGCUGCAGACAACUGUGGUCAUGAAUUUUAAAGAGCUCAGGUCAUAUUAGGGUCUCUUUCCACUUGAUGAGAUUUUGAAAGAGGAGAAGGGCUGCGUACUUGAAAUUAGGACCAUAAAUAAAUAAUACACACACACCCCACAACCCCCCAACUUCAAAAUACAGAUCCUAUUUAUGUAUUCUUCCCCCAUUUAAAAAACACAGAAUCAUAUGGAAUGAUGAAAAAUUUUAUCAUUGGGUAAUGAUUUUUUCUUGAUGACGGGUACAGAAAAAGGAAGUUAUUUUCACCCUGAGAGACGGUGUAAAUACUUAAUUUUGAAACACAAUUAAAGAAUCCUCAGCAGUAAAUGCAUAUAUAUAUAUAUAUAUUAAUUUUUGACAUAGUUUAAAAAGAAUUUAUUCAAAUUCUCUGCUAAAAUACAUCACUGAAAUUCUAGAAAUGCAUUGCAUGCAAUAUAAGUACUACCAUCUCGCAGGACAUGUUACUUGCCUAAACUGCAUAUGCUUUUGGGACACUCAAAAAUGUUUUCAGUACUCAUCUGUGCCUAAAGCCAAAACCAUGUAAAGAAGAGCUGUCAAGAACUGUUUGUACUAAAUGAGAACACAGCAUAGAGAAAGAAUGGAUUAAAAAAUCAGAACAUGUAAGAGUUUUAACCUUCAGUUCAAUUUUUGAAUCUCAGAUCCAAUCCUAAAGGAUAACUUCAACUACAGCCCCCUACUUAUUCAUAAGAUCAGUCAUAUGCCUAGAAGACCACAUCUCUGAAGUACUACUGAAUAAUAAGCUUAGUAUUUAAAUAAAAUCACUUUGUUCACAUGCUACUUACAGCCUUCAUAAAUAUCUGUUGGUAUGUGGACUGCUGCAUGUUGGUAAGAUGUUUGCCGUCGGAAAACAGGAUCUUCUUCAAAUACUGGUCUGAUUCUCUGGC